RNAcentral lists this ribosomal RNA (497 nucleotides) under uncultured bacterium. RNAcentral describes it as "partial 16S ribosomal RNA". It matches the Rfam family "Bacterial small subunit ribosomal RNA", at positions 28 to 507 of the family's 1533-position model. The record is from RNAcentral.
GACGAACGCUGGCGGCGUGCCUAAUACAUGCAAGUUGAGCGCUGAAGGUUGGUACUUGUACCAACUGGAUGAGCAGCGAACGGGUGAGUAACGCGUGGGGAAUCUGCCUUUGAGCGGGGGACAACAUUUGGAAACGAAUGCUAAUACCGCAUAAAAACUUUAAACACAAGUUUUAAGUUUGAAAGAUGCAAUUGCAUCACUCAAAGAUGAUCCCGCGUUGUAUUAGCUAGUUGGUGGGGUAAAGGCUCACCAAGGCGAUGAUACAUAGCCGACCUGAGAGGGUGAUCGGCCACAUUGGGACUGAGACACGGCCCAAACUCCUACGGGAGGCAGCAGUAGGGAAUCUUCGGCAAUGGACGAAAGUCUGAUCGAGCAACGCCGCGUGAGUGAAGAAGGUUUUCGGAUCGUAAAACUCUGUUGGUAGAGAAGAACGUUGGUGAGAGUGGAAAGCUCAUCAAGUGACGGUAACUACCCAGAAAGGGACGGCUAACUACGUG